This 459-nucleotide ribosomal RNA is filed under the name uncultured bacterium. RNAcentral describes it as "partial 16S ribosomal RNA". It matches the Rfam family "Bacterial small subunit ribosomal RNA", at positions 338 to 795 of the family's 1533-position model. The record is from RNAcentral.
CCUACGGGUGGCAGCAGUGAGGAAUAUUGGUCAAUGGCCGAGAGUCUGAACCAGCCAAGUAGCGUGAAGGAUGACAGCACUAUGGGUUGUAAACUUCUUUUAUAAGGGAAUAAAAUGCCCGACGUGUGCGGUCUUGUAUGUACCCGAUGAAUAAGCAUCGGCUAACUCCGUGCCAGCAGCCGCGGUAAUACGGAGGAUGCGAGCGUUAUCCGGAUUGAUUGGGUUUAAAGGGUGCGCAGGCGGGUCUUUAAGCCAGCGGUGAAAUCGGGGGGCUCAACCGAACCGUGCCGUUGGAACUGGGGGCCUUGAGUGCGGCGGAGGUAUGCGGAAUUCGUGGUGUAGCGGUGAAAUGCUUAGAUAUCGCGCAGAACCCCGAUUGCGAAGGCAGCGUGCCGGGCCGACACUGACGCUGAGGCUCGAAAGCGCGGGUAUCGAACAGGAUUAGAUACCCGAGUAGUC